GAGUUGGGUUAAGUUCCGCAACGAGCGCAACCCUCGCCCUUAGUUGCCAGCAUUUAGUUGGGCACUCUAAGGGGACUGCCGGUGAUAAGCCGAGAGGAAGGUGGGGAUGACGUCAAGUCCUCAUGGCCCUUACGGGCUGGGCUACACACGUGCUACAAUGGUGGUGACAGUGGGCAGCGAGCACGCGAGUGUGAGCUAAUCUCCAAAAGCCAUCUCAGUUCGGAUUGCACUCUGCAACUCGAGUGCAUGAAGUUGGAAUCGCUAGUAAUCGCGGAUCAGCAUGCCGCGGUGAAUACGUUCCCGGGCCUUGUACACACCGCCCGUCACACCAUGGGAGUUGGUUUUACCCGAAGGCGCUGUGCUAACCGCAAGGAGGCAGGCGACCACGGUAGGGUCAGCGACUGGGGUGAAGUCGUAACAAGGUAGCCGUAGGGGAACCUGCGGCUGGAUCACCUCCUUUCUGCGGCCG
RNAcentral lists this ribosomal RNA (469 nucleotides) under Ochrobactrum sp. CZ237. RNAcentral describes it as "bacterial SSU rRNA". It matches the Rfam family "Bacterial small subunit ribosomal RNA", at positions 1072 to 1533 of the family's 1533-position model. The record is from RNAcentral. Lineage: Bacteria; Pseudomonadati; Pseudomonadota; Alphaproteobacteria; Hyphomicrobiales; Brucellaceae.